Tritrichomonas musculus is the source of this 74-nucleotide non-coding RNA. NCBI's taxonomy places the organism in Eukaryota, Parabasalia, Tritrichomonadida, Tritrichomonadidae. The record is from the annotation of a GenBank genome assembly.
GGGUCUUUAGCUCAGCGGCGAGAGCAUCCAAUUGAAGAUCGUACAUUUCCUCUGUUAGAGUCCGAGAAGUCCCA